AUACGGAGGGUGCAAGCGUUAAUCGGAAUUACUGGGCGUAAAGCGCGCGUAGGCGGCUUGAUAAGUCGGAUGUGAAAUCCCCGGGCUUAACCUGGGAAUUGCAUUCGAUACUGUCAGGCUAGAGUGUGGUAGAGGGAAGUGGAAUUUCCGGUGUAGCGGUGAACUGCGUAGAUAUCGGAAAGAACAUCAGUGGCGAAGGCGGCUUCCCGGAUCAACACUGACGCUGAGGUGCGAAAGCGUGGGGAGCAAACAGGAUUAGAAACCCUAGUAGUCC
Molecule: ribosomal RNA, 274 nt
Filed under: uncultured bacterium
Lineage: Bacteria
Description: partial 16S ribosomal RNA
Rfam family: Bacterial small subunit ribosomal RNA
Source: RNAcentral